GACGAACGCUGGCGGCGUGCUUAACACAUGCAAGUCGAACGGAAAGGCCCUGCUUGCAGGGUACACGCGUGGCGAACGGGUGAGUAACACGUGGGUGAUCUGCCCUGCACUUCUGGAUAAGCCUGGGAAACUGGGUCUAAUACCGGAUAGGAGCCAUUUUUAGUGUGAUGGUUGGAAAGUUUUUUCGGUGUAGGAUGAGCUCGCGGCCUAUCAGCUUGUUGGGGGGGUAAUGGCCUACCAAGGCGGCGACGGGUAGCCGGCCUGAGAGGGUGGACGGCCAAAUUGGGACGGGGAAACGGCCCAGACCCCAAGGGGAGGCAGAAGGGGGGAAUAUGGCACAAUGGGGGCAAGCCUGAUGCAGCGACGCCGGGUGGGGGAUGACGGCCUUCGGGUUGUAAACUCCUUUCGCUAGGGACGAAGCUUUUGUGACGGUACCUAGAUAAGAAGCACCGGCUAACUACGUG
This 464-nucleotide ribosomal RNA is filed under the name uncultured bacterium. Its description in RNAcentral is "partial 16S ribosomal RNA". It matches the Rfam family "Bacterial small subunit ribosomal RNA", at positions 28 to 507 of the family's 1533-position model. The record is from RNAcentral.